This 253-nucleotide ribosomal RNA is filed under the name uncultured bacterium. RNAcentral's name for it is "partial 16S ribosomal RNA". It matches the Rfam family "Bacterial small subunit ribosomal RNA", at positions 524 to 776 of the family's 1533-position model. The record is from RNAcentral.
UACGUAGGGACCAAGCGUUGUUCGGAUUUACUGGGCGUAAAGCGCGCGUAGGCGGUUACACAAGUCGGGUGUGAAAGCCCUCGGCUUAACUGAGGAAGUGCAUUCAAAACUGUGCAGCUAGAGUACUAAAGAGGGUCGCGGAAUUCCCGGUGUAGAGGUGAAAUUCGUAGAUAUCAGGAAGAACACCCGUGGCGAAGGCGGCUCUCUGGGACGGUACUGACGCUGAGACGCGAAAGCGUGGGGAGCGAACAGG